Molecule: ribosomal RNA, 758 nt
Filed under: uncultured bacterium
Lineage: Bacteria
Description: bacterial SSU rRNA
Rfam family: Bacterial small subunit ribosomal RNA
Source: RNAcentral
AGGGUUUGAUCAUGGCUCAGAACGAACGCUGGCGGCAGGCCUAACACAUGCAAGUCGAGCGCACCUUCGGGUGAGCGGCGGACGGGUUAGUAACGCGUGGGAAUAUGCCCUUCUCUACGGAAUAGCCUCGGGAAACUGAGAGUAAUACCGUAUACGCCCUUCGGGGGAAAGAUUUAUCGGAGAAGGAUUAGCCCGCGUUGGAUUAGGUAGUUGGUGAGGUAACGGCUCACCAAGCCGACGAUCCAUAGCUGGUUUGAGAGGAUGAUCAGCAACACUGGGACUGAGACACGGCCCAGACUCCUACGGGAGGCAGCAGUGGGGAAUCUUAGACAAUGGGGGAAACCCUGAUCUAGCCAUGCCGCGUGAGUGACGAAGGCCCUAGGGUCGUAAAGCUCUUUCAACUGUGAAGAUAAUGACGGUAGCAGUAGAAGAAACCCCGGCUAACUCCGUGCCAGCAGCCGCGGUAAUACGGAGGGGGUUAGCGUUGUUCGGAAUUACUGGGCGUAAAGCGUACGUAGGCGGAUUAGUAAGUUAGAGGUGAAAUCCCAGGGCUCAACCCUGGAACUGCCUUUAAUACUGCUAGUCUUGAGUUCGAGAGAGGUGAGUGGAAUUCCGAGUGUAGAGGUGAAAUUCGUAGAUAUUCGGAGGAACACCAGUGGCGAAGGCGGCUCACUGGCUCGAUACUGACGCUGAGGUACGAAAGUGCGGGGAGCAAACAGGAUUAGAUACCCUGGUAGUCCACACCGUAAACGAUGAAU